ACCUUUUGUAUAAUGGGUCAGCGAGUUACUUUCAGUGGCGAGGUUAACUGAAUAAGGGAGCCGUAGAGAAAUCGAGUCUGAAUAGGGCGAUAGUCGCUGGGAGUAGACCCGAAACCGGGCGAUCUAGCCAUGUGCAGGAUGAAGGUUGGGUAACACCAACUGGAGGUCCGAACCGGGUAAUGUUGAAAAAUUAUCGGAUGACGUGUGGCUAGGAGUGAAAGGCUAAUCAAGCCCGGAGAUAGCUGGUUCUCCCCGAAAGCUAUUUAGGUAGCGCCUCGUGAAUGAUUACUGGGGGUAGAGCACUGUUUCGGCUAGGGGGCUGUCAUGGCUUACCAAACCGAUGCAAACUCCGAAUACCGGCUAAUUGAAUCACGGGAGACACACGGCGGGUGCUAACGUCCGUCGUGGAGAGGGAAACAACCCAGACCGCCAGCUAAGGUCCCCAAGUACUAGUUAAGUGGGAAACGAUGUGGGAAGGCAUAGACAGCCAGGAGGUUGGCUUAGAAGCAGCCACCCUUUAAAGAAAGCGUAAUAGCUCACUGGUCGAGUCGGCCUGCGCGGAAGAUGUAACGGGGCUAAAACUAGUCACCGAAGCUGCGGAUGUGCGCGAAGGCGCACGUGGUAGGGGAGCGUUCUGUAGGCUGAUGAAGGUGCAUUGAGAAGUGUGCUGGAGGUAUCAGAAGUGCGAAUGCUGACAUGAGUAACGAUAAUGUGGGUGAAAAGCCCACACGCCGGAAGUCCCAGGUUUCCUGCACGACGUUAAUCGGAGCAGGGUGAGUCGGCCCCUAAGGCGAGGCUGAAGAGCGUAGUCGAUGGGAACCAGGUUAAUAUUCCUGGACUUUUUAUAAGUGGUGAAGUGGGGACGAAGAAGGCUAGGUGAGCCAGGCGUUGGUUGUCCUGGUACUUGCAUGUAGGGGGGAAGACUUGGCAAAUCCGGUUUUCCAUAACUCUGAGGUGCGAAGUGGUUCUGACCUUUUGGUACAGAGAAGUCAUUGAUGCCCGGCUUCCAGGAAAAGCUGCUAGCCAUAACUUAUAGAGAACCGUACCGCAAACCGACACAGGUGGACAGGUAGAGAAUACUAAGGCGCUUGAGAGAACUCGGGUGAAGGAACUAGGCAAAAUGGUACCGUAACUUCGGGAGAAGGUACGCCCUUUCUGGUGAUGGGAUUUACUUUCAGAGCUGGAGAGGGCCGCAGAGACCAGGUGGCUGCGACUGUUUAUUAAAAACACAGCACUCUGCAAAUUCGUAAGAAGACGUAUAGGGUGUGACGCCUGCCCGGUGCCGGAAGGUUAAUUGAUGGGGUUAUCUUCGGAGAAGCUCUUGAUCGAAGCCCCGGUAAACGGCGGCCGUAACUAUAACGGUCCUAAGGUAGCGAAAUUCCUUGUCGGGUAAGUUCCGACCUGCACGAAUGGCGUAACGAUGGCCACACUGUCUCCACCCGAGACUCAGUGAAAUUGAAAUCGCUGUGAAGAUGCAGUGUACCCGCGGCUAGACGGAAAGACCCCGUGAACCUUUACUAUAGUUUUGCACUGGACUUUGAUGAUGACUGUGUAGGAUAGGUGGGAGGCUGUGAAGUGAGGACGCUAGUUCUCAUGGAGCCGCCCUUGAAAUACCACCCUGUUGUUAUUGAGGUUCUAACUUGGUCCAGUAAUCCUGGAUGAGGACAGUGUAUGAUGGGUAGUUUGACUGGGGCGGUCUCCUCCCAAAGAGUAACGGAGGAGCACAAAGGUACCCUCGGUACGGUCGGACAUCGUACCAAGAGUGUAAAGGCAAAAGGGUGCUUGACUGCGAGAGUGACGGCUCGAGCAGGAACGAAAGUUGGUCUUAGUGAUCCGGUGGUUCUGAAUGGAAGGGCCAUCGCUCAACGGAUAAAAGGUACUCCGGGGAUAACAGGCUGAUACCGCCCAAGAGUUCAUAUCGACGGCGGUGUUUGGCACCUCGAUGUCGGCUCAUCACAUCCUGGGGCUGAAGCAGGUCCCAAGGGUAUGGCUGUUCGCCAUUUAAAGUGGUACGCGAGCUGGGUUUAGAACGUCGUGAGACAGUUCGGUCCCUAUCUGCCGUGGGCGUAGGAAAAUUGAGAGGAGCUGCUCCUAGUACGAGAGGACCGGAGUGGACGAACCUCUGGUGCACCGGUUGUCACGCCAGUGGCAUGGCCGGGUAGCUAAGUUCGGACGGGAUAACCGCUGAAAGCAUCUAAGCGGGAAGCCUCCCUCAAGAUGAGUUUUCCCAUGAAGCCCGUUGAAGACUACGACGUUGAUAGGCAAGGUGUGGAAGCGCAGUAAUGCGUGAAGCUAACUUGUACUAAUUGGCUGAUUG
Molecule: ribosomal RNA, 2317 nt
Filed under: Legionella pneumophila
Lineage: Bacteria; Pseudomonadati; Pseudomonadota; Gammaproteobacteria; Legionellales; Legionellaceae
Description: partial 23S ribosomal RNA
Rfam family: Bacterial large subunit ribosomal RNA
Source: RNAcentral